UUGGUGGGAACUCCAAUUGGAAACCUUGAAGAUAUCACCUUGAGGGCUCUCCGUGUAUUAAAAUCUGCUCAUGUGAUACUUUCCGAAGACACAAGGCAUUCGGGGAAAUUACUUCAGUAUUACAAUAUUAGAACUCCCCUUCUGAGUUAUCACAAAUUCAAUGAGUCUCAAAGAGAAUUGACGGUGUUAAAGAGAUUGAAACAGGGCGAGAUUGUGGCCCUGAUCAGUGAUGCAGGGAUGCCAGGCAUUAGUGAUC
This 256-nucleotide unclassified non-coding RNA is filed under the name Hevea brasiliensis (rubber tree). Lineage: Eukaryota; Viridiplantae; Streptophyta; Magnoliopsida; Malpighiales; Euphorbiaceae. The record is from RNAcentral.